Long non-coding RNA from Canis lupus familiaris (dog), 5035 nucleotides. RefSeq lists it as uncharacterized. The transcript is spliced from 7 exons. NCBI's taxonomy places the organism in Eukaryota, Metazoa, Chordata, Mammalia, Carnivora, Canidae. The record is from RefSeq and is a predicted model, not a curated record.
UUCGGACGGGCUCAAAGCGCAUGCGUCGGCCCCUCCUCCCGCCGUCUUUGUGCGGCGAGAAGGGCUUCGCGCGUGCGCGGCGGGUAGGGAAGCGUCCCGCCCCCUUCGCGGAUCAUAGAGUUUGACGACGCGUCUUAGUCUUAGAGAGGCUGACGCUUCGGCUCCUAAACUGUGGAGGCCGCAGGGAGUGGGACCGUGGCGUCCCGCUGAGGGGCGCCGGAGGCAACGGGGUCGCACGGAAUCGCUGUGCCGCUCCUGCACCGGCCUCGACUUCAGACACUUAAACUUCAAGGUAGCUUCCUUUUAAGGUCCUAACUUCCUCAGCCACAUCAGGCCUCCAGGCAAGACAGCGUUCAGCAGAAGUUAGCUGAGAGCCCAGGGCCUGAGAUGGGUUGUGUCCAGCAGGAACCUGUGCAUCAGAGUUGAAGAGAGGUUACAAGCCAUGCACAUAAGGAAUGGAUUUCACCAAUCAUUCAAACACCCCCUUUUCUGCAUACUCUGCACAAUAUGUCACUCACGUACAGAACCUGUGGAGGCCCUGCUCAGAGAGAGACGGGUGAGGGAGAAAGAGGAGGAGGAAGAGGACAAGGACAAGCCAACUUCACGAUGAGCUCAGAGCUCAACUUAGAGCUCUAUCACAGGACCCUGAGAUCAUGAGCUGAGCUGAAACCAAGAGUGAGGCACUUAACAGACUGAGCCACCCAGUUGUCUGAGUACUGUGGCUAGUACAGUCCAGUACUAUGUCGAAUAGAAGUGGUGAGAGUGGACAUCUUUGUCUUCCUGACUAUAGAGGAAAAGCUUUUAGUUUUUCUCCAUUGAGGCUGAUGUUAGCUGUGAGUUUUUAAAAUACAACCUUUAUUAUAUUGAGGUUAAAUUCUUGCUCAGAGUCCGAUUGCUCCCAUCUGGCACUGCCAGAGUGUGGGUGAGGGAGGCUGAACUGGGAGUUAAGCGAGGCCCUGCUACCUCCAGGCCCCUGCUCUGUGCACAGGUGCAGAACCUACUUAUGUGUCAGAUGGGCCUCAUGGACAAUGAGGUAUCCCUGUGGCCAGAGCUCGUGCUUCGGGCAUACAGGAUGCCGUGUAUGAAAUGCUGAUGACGUGGCUCAACAAAAUGGGGCAAGGUGCCUCAGUCAACAUCCCAUUGGAUGCCUCGGAAAUGUUAGGGAAAAGAUAUGCGAAGGAGAGAAUUCAGGAGCACCUGGUGGGCUCUGGAAAGUGCAUCUAUGAAGAAGAUGGGACAGCUCUGCUGUAUCCUGAGUGGAAAGAAUCUUUUUAGGAAUCUGAGCUUCCCUGGUUUACCUUUCUUCUUGAAGGGGAAGCAUGAAUAGACACCAGCCUGGAAGAAAGAGUAGAUUCUUGACAAAUACUUGGAGAAAUUGUAAUUAAAAACAUACAGCUCUUGGAAUGUUCUAGAACUUUUUUUAAUGCACUUGGAAUAAGUUUUAUGAAAUGUUGGGUGUGAUAAAUGAAUUGUGGAAAAAUUCUAUGUGGAUUAUAGUUACAGCUAUUUUAUUGUGUUUCAUUUUAUUGCACAUCAAAGAUGUGUAAAGGUUUGUGGAAACCCUGAGUUGAGCAAGUCUGUUGGUGUCAUUUUUCCAACAUUUGCUGACUUCGAAUCUCUGAAGCAUAUUUUGAUAAUUCUUGCAAUGUUUCAAACCUAUUUAUUAUUAUUAUAUUAUGUUAUUGUUUGAUCAGUGAUGUUUGAUUGUAAUUGUUUCAAGGUGCCGUGAAUUGUGCCCAUAUAAGAUUGUGAAUUUAAUUGAUAAAUCAUAUGUGUUUUCUGACUGGUCUACCAGCUAACCCUAAAAUGGCCUCUAAGUGUUCAAGUGAAAGGAAGAGUCACAUGUCUCUCACUCUAAAUCAAUUCAGCUAGAAUGCUUAAGCUUAGUGAGGAAGGCACGUUGAAAGCUGAGAUAGGCCAAAAGCUAGGCCACACAACAAAUAGCCAGGUUGCGAAUGCAAAGGAAAAGUUGUUUAAGGAAAUUAAAAGUGCCUUCCAGUGAACACAUGAAUGAUAAGAAAGCCAAACAGCCUUAUUGCUGAUGUGGAGAAAGUCUGAGUGGUCUGCAUAGAUGAAACCAGCCAGGACAUUCUGUUAAGCCAAAGCCUAUCCUGAGCAAGGCCCUGACUCUCCUCAGUUCUGUGAAGGUUGAGAGCAGUGAGGAAGCUGCAGGAGAAUAGGUGGAAGCUGCCAGAGGUGGGUUCAUGAGGUUUAAGGCCAGAAGCUGUCUCUACCACAACCCAGUGCAAGGUGAAGCAGCCAGUGCUGGUGUAGACACUGCAGCACAUUCUCCAGGAGAUCCAGCCAGGAUAAGUGAUGAAGGAGGCUACACUGAACAACACAUUUCCAAUGUAGAAAAAAUGGUCUCUAUCAGGAGAAGAUGCCAGCUAGGACUUUCAUAGCUAGAGAGAGGAGAAGUCAGUGCCUGGAUUCAAAGCCUCAAGGAACAGCCCGAACCCCUCCUUAGGGGCUAAUGCUGCGGGUGCCUUGACGUUGAAGCCAGGGCUCAUUGAUCAUUCUGAAAAUCCCAGGGUCCCGAAGAAUUAUGCUAAGUCCACUCUGCCCUGUGCUCUGUGAACGGAGCAACAAACCCUGGAUGAUGGCAUUUCAGGAUCACAACAUGGUUUAUUGAAUAUUUUAAGUCCAUUGUUGAGAUCUACCGCUCAGAAAAAAAAUAUUCUUUUCAAAAUACGACUGCUUAUUAACAAUGCAUCUGGUCACACGUGAACUCUGAUGGAGACGUAUAAUGAGAUGAAUGUUGUUUUCUGCUCACAUAGCAUCCAUUCUGCAGCUUAGAGAUCAAGGAGUCAUUAGACUUUCAAGUCUUAUUAUUUAAGAAAUACAUUCUGUAAGGCUGUUGCUGCCAUACAUAGCGAUUCUUCUGAAGGAUUUGGGCAAAAUCAAUUGAAAACCUUCUGGCAAGGAUUCACCAUUCUAAGUGGGUGCCAUUAAGAAUAUUUGUGAUUCAUGGGAAGAAGUCAAAAUAUCAACAUGAACAGGGGUUUGGAAGAAUUUGAUUACAACCUGCAUGGAUGACUUUGAUGGGUUCAAGACUUCAGAGGAGGAAGUGUGGGGGAAAGAGCAAGAGGAGUAGAACUGGAGGUAGAGCCUGAAGAUGGAACCGAAUGGCUGCCAUCUCAUGAUCAGAUGAGGAGUUGCUGCUUGUGGAUGAGUAAAGAAAGUGGUUUCUUGAGAUGGAAUCUACUCCUGAGAAGACUUUGGGAAGAUUGUUGAGAUGACAACAAAAGAUUUAGAGCGUUGAGUAAACUCAGUCGAUAGAACAGCGGCAGGUUGGACAGGACCGACUCCAAUUUUGUUACAAGUUCUGUUGUGAGUAAAAUGCUAUCAGACAGCAUCGCGUGCUACAGAGAAAUUGGAAGAGUCAAUCAACACAGCCAACUCCAUCGGUGUCUUAUUUUAAGAAAUUGCCACAGCCAUUCCCACCUUCAGCAGCCACCACCCUGAUCAGUCAGCAGCCACCAACAUCGAGGCAAGCGCCUCCGCCAGCAAAAAGAUUACAACUCGCUGAGAGCUCAGAUGAUCGUUAGCAUUUUUUUUAGCAAUAAAGUGUUUUUUAAUUUAAUACAUGGCUUUUUAAAACAUAAGGCUAUUGCACAUUUAAUAGACUACAGUAUAGUGCAGACACAACUUUUGAAUGCACUUGGAAACCAAAGAAUUCAUUUGACCCACUUUAUUGUGAUACUUGCUUUAUUGGGUUUCUCUGGAAGCAAACUUGCAGUGUCUCCGAGGUGUGCCUGAAUAUGCUCAUGUGUGGCCUGCAAGUUGUUUUAGUGUGUCUUUCUUUUUGAUUCAUGUGCCUUCUUCAUUCCUAAUAGAAUUGCACUUGCUACUUGUAUUUGUUAUAUCGUAAGAUGCAAUCAUGUUGGCAUGUGUGCAUUUACUUAUAUCUAACUAUUACUAGAGGAUGUGCAUCUUCCUAUUUUUGUAUAUGUUUAUAUGAGUGCGUAGAACUUUUUGAAAUGUACUUAUUAGUUUGAUUACAUGGAUUACCUUAAUGGGAGCAGCCAAUCGUAAAAUGAGUUCGCAUACAAAGGGAGAAGGUGAAACAGCCCACCUCUGGGGAUGGGGAUGGCGGGUUCCAAUUCUCCUUCAUAUGCCCUUUUCCAGAAUCAGAUGACCAGAAACUCCUGAAGUGCCCACUCUUUUCAACAUGAUAAUUACGUGGGCGUAUGAAUAUGUAUAUUACUCAUAAGCUGAUGUUUCCAAGUAAGGAGAGUGAGGAGAAACGGUGUCCUCGUGCAGCCCUGUGUCUGGGUGCCCUGGGCAGGAAUGUGAGGGCCUCCUCCUUGCCUAUAGAUGUGGGCAGGUUGGGAGACGGGUUAGCUCUGAGGUGGCAAAUAGGUUCUAUGUCACGUGUCAUUGCAGAUCACAUGAGUGGACCCUCAGCCCCAUCUUCAUCUUCAGCCCCCUUUCCACCCUACCUGUAUUCCAGUCAUGGCGGGAUGAUGUUAUAGAAGUUAUUCUCAGGGUUCUCCAGCUUUCUCAUCUCAAAGGUCUGGGAGUGCCCAGACUGGAUCCAUUGGCUGGGCCCAAAUGGAGUUGCCUGAACACUCAGGCAGUCAGGGUACUGGUGCUCAAGUGGGGGCACAACCCUCACGGCCUUGCUGCUCCCCUCCCUCCUGCUUCCUUCCAGAGGUGCCCGCCUGCCCCUUCCCUUUCCUGGGAGACUUGGGGUUUCCUGCCUCUGCUGUCCCUUCUAUGUGGAGCGCUUGCAUCUGUAGAAGGGGCCGUGAAUUUUUGCCAGUCAGCGUUCAGCUCACCUGCAGUCCCUUUGUCAGAGUCCUUGAGUGCCCAGCCACGGUAUUAGCCUUAUCAGUGUUUGUCACGCUUACUCAUUUAAGGUAAGCUGCAUCAGGGCAUGGGGCGGAUCCAGUCCAAAUGGCACGUGGCCCUCAACAGGCACUUAAGUGUUUCAUUGGCGAUCGGUGUCCUUUCAUGCUUCUCUCCAGUGGGAGGGGCCACCUUUGAGGAGGUUGUUGGACAUAUCAAACAAUACAAGGAAGGCCAUUAGGUA